AUGGUUUAAGAAGGAGAUAUUGACAUUGGAAGUUCAAUAUUCAGAUUGGAAUAGAAGGUCGGCCAAUAUUCAACUAAAAUUUAAGAUUGAUCUUUUGAUUAGUAAGUUCAAUCUUCUUUGAAUUUUUUAUACUUGUUGUUAACUUAGUUGUUGAGAGGUGUGUAAAUCUUAAGUAAGAUCAAUGGUAUAAUUGAUAGAUAUUGAGGUUCUAAACUGCCUUGAGAUUAGGUUAAUUUAACUAGGAUUUGAUUAGGAUUUACGGUUUGUUUAAGAUUUAGAAUUAUUUAGGAUUAAUUACGAUUUGAUUUAGAAUUUAAUUAUAAACUAUUAGGAUUUUAAUU
RNAcentral lists this long non-coding RNA (341 nucleotides) under Physcomitrium patens. RNAcentral's name for it is "long non-coding RNA (PPAT_LNC006265)". The record is from RNAcentral. Lineage: Eukaryota; Viridiplantae; Streptophyta; Bryopsida; Funariales; Funariaceae.